Molecule: ribosomal RNA, 482 nt
Filed under: uncultured bacterium
Lineage: Bacteria
Description: bacterial SSU rRNA
Rfam family: Bacterial small subunit ribosomal RNA
Source: RNAcentral
GAUUAACGUUGGUAGUAUGCCUAACACAUGCAAGUCGAGCGGAAAGUAGUAGCAAUAUUGCUUUUAGCGGCGAACGGGUGAGUAAUACUUAUCUACUUGCCGAUUAGUGGGAGAGGCUCAUAGAGCCCGGAUAGGUCUGGGGAAACUCAGGCUAAUACCGCAUAAUCUGGUUUCGACCAGGAAAGGAAGUCGCAAGGCUUUCGCUAAUUGAUAGGGAUAAGUCGUAUUAGUUAGUUGGUGGGGUAAUGGCCUACCAAGACGAAGAUGCGUAGCCAGGCUGAGAGGCUGAUUGGCCACAAGGGAACUGAGACACGGUCCCUACUCCCGAUUGGGAGGCAGCAGUGAGGAAUUUUUGGCAAUGGGGGAAACCCUGACCGAGCAAUACUACGUGAAGGAAGAAGGUCUAUGGAUUGUAAACUUCUUUACUUGGAUGUACUCCUUAAAGCUUGCAUCCGAGCAAAAAGUCACGACUAACUACGUGC